This 426-nucleotide ribosomal RNA is filed under the name uncultured bacterium. Its description in RNAcentral is "bacterial SSU rRNA". It matches the Rfam family "Bacterial small subunit ribosomal RNA", at positions 354 to 796 of the family's 1533-position model. The record is from RNAcentral.
GUAGGGAAUAUUGCACAAUGGGCGAAAGCCUGAUGCAGCAACGCCGCGUGCGCGAUGAAGGCCUUCGGGUCGUAAAGCGCUUUUCGGGAGGAUGAGGAAGGACAGUACUCCCGGAAUAAGUCACGGCUAACUACGUGCCAGCAGCCGCGGUAAAACGUAGGUGGCGAGCGUUAUCCGGAUUUACUGGGCGUAAAACGCGUGCAGGCGGUCUGGUAAGUCGGGCGUGAAAUCUCUCGGCUCAACCGAGAGAGGUCGUCCGAUACUACCGGACUUGAGGGCAGUAGAGGAAGGUGGAAUUCCCGGUGUAGUGGUGAAAUGCGUAGAUAUCGGGAGGAACACCAGUGGCGAAGGCGGCCUUCUGGGCUGCCCCUGACGCUCAGACGCGAAAGCUAGGGGAGCGAACGGGAUUAGAAACCCUAGUAGUCC